Molecule: unclassified non-coding RNA, 387 nt
Filed under: Hevea brasiliensis (rubber tree)
Lineage: Eukaryota; Viridiplantae; Streptophyta; Magnoliopsida; Malpighiales; Euphorbiaceae
Source: RNAcentral
UUUGAACUUGUAUUUGAGAUCCUAAGCUUCCAGUUUUAGUUAUGGAGUCAAGCCGACUUGAGAUUGAGUGCUUCAAGCAUCUCAUGAAGUUGAGUUCAAGCUCUAAAAAAACAAAGCUAAUAGAUCAAAACUAUAAGAAAGUUGGACAUUGACCAACAACAAAGAAAAUAAAUCUUAAAAAUUAAAGUCAACAGAUUAGCACCCCCAACCAAUCAAAAAAAACAAAGAAAAUAACAAUAUACAGACAAACAAUUUUAAAUAGUUAAUAAGCACUCCUUAAUCAAUCCAACGAACAAUUCUAAGACAUCAAACCCAUCACCAUCUCCUAUAUUCACCAAAUAAAACAAUUGCAACAUGAAAAGUUCACCAAUAAUAAAUACUAAUCUG